CUGUUGUGAUAUGCUCAACAUUAAUAACACCUCUUUUAUAUAGUUAUAGAGAAGAUCUUACCUAGUGUGGUUUCUGGAAUCAUCUAACACUCCGCUGAGGCCGACGCAGUAGAAGCUACACAUGCAGAGAGGAGGCUCUUGAGCACACUUAACCUUCACCCUAACUGCUACAGUAAUGAGGACAAUCAGUCAGUGUGCUCAAUUCCCGAGAUCCCGGCAGAGAGUCAUAGCUUUUUAUCACCCAAUCAUGGUGAGUCAAUAACAUUUAUGACUGGUAGUUUUCUAAUCAGUUGAG
This 295-nucleotide long non-coding RNA is filed under the name Sinocyclocheilus grahami. RNAcentral's name for it is "lncRNA (ENSSGRG00000009489.1)". Lineage: Eukaryota; Metazoa; Chordata; Actinopteri; Cypriniformes; Cyprinidae. The record is from RNAcentral.